Molecule: long non-coding RNA, 1654 nt
Organism: Medicago truncatula (barrel medic)
Lineage: Eukaryota; Viridiplantae; Streptophyta; Magnoliopsida; Fabales; Fabaceae
Exons: 4
Source: RefSeq, a predicted model, not a curated record
GAUGGUGUUUUGAUUUGAAAAUAUAGCCUUCUAAAGUAUUUUGUGAAUUUGUGUUGAAUAUAACCUCAAAUUUCUAGGUCGGUGGUGAAUUUAUGAAUUUGAUGGCUGUAUGGUGCGGAUCUGUGGUGAUUUUUUUUGUUGUUGGCUGGGUUUUUCUCUUCAAUUAUGGUUUGGCCUCUGGUUGUUUGGUGUGUUAAUUUUACAUUGUUUCUCUUUCAUUUUACCUGUCCUUUUUUUUAUUCCCUUGAAAUUUUUGGAACCCAUAUGCGCUUAAGGUUGGGGAAUUUGUUAUAGAGAUGGUGGAUGAGUCAGUGAACGAGCACCAGUUGGUGAACAUCUGAAGGAAGGUUUCAAUGAUGAAUUCACUAGUGCAAAAAACACUUAUUAAGUCAAGGUUUUUAAGUGGGUUGUUAUCCACCAGAUUUAAAAACAUGGGUGCAGGGGAGGAUUUUGACUUGAAUAGAUAUUAAAUGGUUUAACCCCAUUUAAAAUCUAUUUUAUAUUAAAAUAAUAAACACACAUAUCAAUAUUAGAAUGCCAAAAUUAUAUGAACUCAUCAAACUUUCUCUGCUAUAUACCGUGAAACCCACAAAUUCGUCGAACUUCAUCAUAUGUUCAUCGACCAUCAGCCCAACCAACAUUUCAAUUCGUUUACUCAAUCAGGUUGCCCCGACUCAUGGAUCUGAAGCCCUCGCUAUUGUUCUCGUCAUCGAUUGAAACGCAUCGGUUCUUCGAUUAGGUUUCUCUCAUUCACGCAUCUGAAGCCUAUUAUCGCUCACUGAAACACAUUCUCACUCCGAUUGCUCAGAUCCAAGCUAUUCAAUUUGGUUCCCUUGAAAAUUUUGCAUCUAGAUUUUUAGUUUUUUAUUUUAUUUAAUUUGUGAGUUUUGCUAUAAUUUUUGAAAAUUUCAGGUUGUUAAAAAGAAUGAGUUGUUGAUUCUGUUUUUGAUGUUGACGUGCUCGCUGAUUUCCUUCACUACUUUCAGAAUUAGGGUUUUUGAAGCUUCAGUUGGAUGUCAAAACUGUUUUGGAGUAUGCGGUGUCGAGGGAGAUGAAAUUGUUGAGAUUCCUGGUCGAUUUAGGGCUUUGGAAUGAGCAGUUUCUGAUUUGGGUGAGUAGUUGCUGGUAAGAGGGAAUGAAGUCCUUUUGCUACUGAACAUCGAUAGUUCGUUCAUGGAUGUCUUUCAAUUGCAUGUUCUAUGUCUGUUUUCCGGUUCCUGGAUUAAAGCACGUUUUAGAGGUACAACUUGGGUUAUCUUUGCAGAAUUGCAGCCGGGGAAUUUGCAGUUGUGUAAAGACAAUUUCUCAUUCCAUUUCUGACAAGAGUUUCCUUACACACAUUGUAAUUUCUAGGUAUAUGGAAUGCCUCUGUACUCAAUUGGGAAAUAGUGAUGUGUAUGGAAUGCCUGUGUACUCAAUUGCCCAAAAUUUUGGAGACAAAUCCGUUUACUGAUGAUGAAAUGACAAAUGUUCAAGAACGCUAUGCAAAUUUGAUUUUGGAAAGACUUUGAUGUAAUUUAAUUAUGUCAAUAACCAUGCUUUUAAACAAUGUUUAGCUUUUGUUUAGUUUUAUGAUAUUGUAAAUUUCAAUUUGUUUGAUAUUGUAACAAUGACAUGUUUGAUAUGAAAUUUGAUCAUAUGAUAUUUCAUAUUA